CACACACACACAGAGCACCUACACACAGCACACACAGCCCACAAACAGCACCCACACACAUACAUCACCCUCGCACACACAGCACCCACACACAUACAGCACCCAGCACACUAACAGCAUCCUCACAAACACACAAAACCCACACACAACACCCGCACAGCACCCACACACAAACAGCAAACUCACACACAAACAGCACCCUGACAAACACACAACACCCACACACAGCACACAAACAGCAU
This is a non-coding RNA of Pelobates cultripes (western spadefoot toad), 242 nucleotides long. The record is from the annotation of a GenBank genome assembly. Lineage: Eukaryota; Metazoa; Chordata; Amphibia; Anura; Pelobatidae.